UACGGAGGUGGCAAGCGUUGCUCGGAAUCACUGGGCGUAAAGGGCGCGUAGGCGGGGAGGUAAGUCGGGUGUGAAAUCCCUCGGCCCAACCGAGGAACUGCGCCCGAGACUGCUUCUCUUGAGUCCCGGAGAGGAAGGUGGAAUUCCCGGUGUAGCGGUGAAAUGUGUAGAGAUCGGGAGGAACACCGGUGGCGAAGGCGGAUCUCUGGGCCUGUUCUGACGCUGAGGCGCGAAAGCGUGGGGAGCAAACAGG
RNAcentral lists this ribosomal RNA (253 nucleotides) under uncultured bacterium. Its description in RNAcentral is "partial 16S ribosomal RNA". It matches the Rfam family "Bacterial small subunit ribosomal RNA", at positions 524 to 776 of the family's 1533-position model. The record is from RNAcentral.